AACAAAAACUGACAGUUAUCACCCAAAAUUUUUUUGAAGUAAAAAUGAUCAAAGGCUAUGCUGUCUAGUGUCAGAAAGAAGAAACGUUUUAAAGUAACAUGAAAUGUCCGCUGUAACUCGGUGACACUCAAUUGAAAAGAACUGACAAACAAAGGUAACAAAUAACUUUGAUACUCACGUAAUAUUCUCCAUGAAAAAUUUCAUCGAAAAGCCACACGCAGCAUCACACAUCAAAAAAGACGAAAUCCCCAAGGUGAUAUUGAACGCCACUUCAACUUCUACACUGAGGAGAAGGCAAUCAAGACAGAUAUCCGUUCAUGUUGUCUGCAAGUGAUUCCAGACGUUUCAGCACCUGGGCAACAGUGCUGGAGAAUAGAUUGCUGAAAGUGAUAACACCCAGUGUUGGCUACAUACUACAAGGCAACAGCAAAUGUAAAGUCAAUCAUAAACGAUGGUGGAGGUGAAAAAUCCUUUCCACACAACCCAAUCUGACAGAGACUGGGCAUAUAAUUAAAUGAAUAUCACAUGUACCAUUAGAAAAUUUA
This is a long non-coding RNA of Daphnia pulex (common water flea), 545 nucleotides long. RefSeq lists it as uncharacterized. The record is from RefSeq and is a predicted model, not a curated record. Lineage: Eukaryota; Metazoa; Arthropoda; Branchiopoda; Diplostraca; Daphniidae. The transcript is spliced from 3 exons.